AUUAUGACGUAAUUGGUGACACAUAUUUUGCAACCGAAACAAUUGGAUAUUCUAACACAUGUUUUCAUAUAAUUUUCAACACAUUAUCGCAAUUACAAACUAGAUGUGUCAUAGCGACACGAAUGGCUCCGUCCCAAAAAGUUGAAAAAUCUGCAAUUUCAAUAUAAACACAUGUGGACACAAACAUGAUGGUGGUCUAACAUUUGAAGGC
RNAcentral lists this long non-coding RNA (211 nucleotides) under Mytilus galloprovincialis (Mediterranean mussel). The record is from RNAcentral. Lineage: Eukaryota; Metazoa; Mollusca; Bivalvia; Mytilida; Mytilidae.